Vicia faba (fava bean) is the source of this 285-nucleotide non-coding RNA. The record is from the annotation of a GenBank genome assembly. NCBI's taxonomy places the organism in Eukaryota, Viridiplantae, Streptophyta, Magnoliopsida, Fabales, Fabaceae.
AUGCCUUCUAGUGAGACUAAAGGCUUAGACUUGAUGGUCCACAGAGUAUGGAAUUCUCUUGAGGAUGACAAUGCUGGAGUAAUUGGUUUAUAUGGAAUGGGUGGGGUCGGAAAAACAACUCUUAUGAAAAGAAUUCACAAUGAAUUAGGAAAGAGGGAGCAUAGUUUUGAUCUAGUGUUAUGGGUAGUGGUUUCUAGAGAUUGUUAUAUCAAUAAAGUAAUGAAUGACAUGAGCAAUAAAUUGAUGAAAGUUUUUGGAAUAGAAGUACUCAAGACCAAAGAGUAG